This 253-nucleotide ribosomal RNA is filed under the name uncultured bacterium. RNAcentral describes it as "partial 16S ribosomal RNA". It matches the Rfam family "Bacterial small subunit ribosomal RNA", at positions 524 to 776 of the family's 1533-position model. The record is from RNAcentral.
UACAGAGGUCUCAAGCGUUGUUCGGAUUCACUGGGCGUAAAGGGUGCGCAGGUGGUCGGGUAAGUCUGAUGUGAAAUCCCGCAGCUUAACUGCGGAAUGGCAUUGGAUACUAUUCGGCUAGAGGGUUGGAGGGGGGACUGGAAUUCUCGGUGUAGCAGUGAAAUGCGUAGAUAUCGAGAGGAACACCAGUGGCGAAGGCGAGUCCCUGGACAACUCCUGACGCUGAGGCACGAAAGCUAGGGGAGCAAACAGG